AUAAUCGAGCGUAUUUAUACGUUAGGAAAGUCCAUACUAACACGAACUGUGAUGUUCGUAGUGUUUGUGCAUAAUUAAAAAAUAAGUUAUGGAACUAUUAAUUUAGUUACGGCGAAUGAAACCUAAAGCUUAGCCAUGGUGUAAUUCAUAAAGUGCCACAGUGACGAUUCUUUUGGAAACAAAAGCGUGGAACGGGUAAACCCCACAAGUUAGCAACCCAAAUUUUGGUAGGGGCAUGACAAUUAGAAGAAUAAGAAUUCAUAAUUGUUACUUAAGAAUUUUUUCUUUUGAGAUAAAUGAUUAUCCCUUUUUAAAUAAAAGGACAGAAUAUGGCUUAUU
RNAcentral lists this RNase P RNA (339 nucleotides) under human gut metagenome. RNAcentral's name for it is "Bacterial RNase P class B". It matches the Rfam family "Bacterial RNase P class B". Rfam says of the family: Ribonuclease P (RNase P) is a ubiquitous endoribonuclease, found in archaea, bacteria and eukarya as well as chloroplasts and mitochondria. Its best characterised activity is the generation of mature 5'-ends of tRNAs by cleaving the 5'-leader elements of precursor-tRNAs. The record is from RNAcentral.